This 494-nucleotide ribosomal RNA is filed under the name uncultured bacterium. RNAcentral's name for it is "partial 16S ribosomal RNA". It matches the Rfam family "Bacterial small subunit ribosomal RNA", at positions 28 to 507 of the family's 1533-position model. The record is from RNAcentral.
GACGAACGCUGGCGGCGUGCCUAACACAUGCAAGUCGAACGGUGACGCCCCUUCUUUUUUGGCGGGUGUGGGUGAGUGGCGAAAGGGUGAGUUAAACGUCGGUAACCUGCCCCCUUCUUCUUGCUAACCCCAUGAAAGUUUGGCUAAUACGGGAUAUUCUGGGUCUGUCGCAUGCUGGGUCUGGGUAAGUAAUUGUUUCGGUGGGGGAUGGGCUCGGGGCCUAUCCGCUUGUUGGGGGGGUGUUGGCCUAGCCAGGCGGUGACGGGUAGCCGGCCUGAGCGGGUGGACGGUCACACUGGGACGGAGACACGGCCCAGACUCCUACGGGAGGCAGCAGUGGGGAAUAUUGCACAAUGGGCGCAAGCCUGAUGCAGCGACGCCGCGUGAGGGAUGGAGGCCUGCGGGUUGUGAACCUCUUUCGCCAGUGAAGCAGGCCUGCCUCGUUUGUGGGUGGGUUGACGGUAGCUGGAUAAGAAGCGCCGGCUAACUACGUG